This 72-nucleotide transfer RNA is filed under the name Candidatus Liptonbacteria bacterium. Its description in RNAcentral is "tRNA-Arg". It matches the Rfam family "tRNA". From Rfam's summary of the family: Transfer RNA (tRNA) molecules are approximately 80 nucleotides in length. Their secondary structure includes four short double-helical elements and three loops (D, anti-codon, and T loops). Lineage: Bacteria; Candidatus Liptoniibacteriota. The record is from RNAcentral.
CCCCUCGUCGUUUAAUGGAUAGGACACAGCCCUGCGAAGGCUGAAAUCGAGGUUCGAUUCCUCGCGAGGGGA